This 458-nucleotide ribosomal RNA is filed under the name uncultured bacterium. RNAcentral describes it as "SSU rRNA". It matches the Rfam family "Bacterial small subunit ribosomal RNA", at positions 26 to 518 of the family's 1533-position model. The record is from RNAcentral.
AGAAUCAACGCUGGCGGCGUGCCUAACACAUGCAAGUCGCACGAGAAAGGGGAGCAAUCCCUGAGUACAGUGGCGCACGGGUGAGUAACACGUGAAUAAUCUACCUCCGAGUGGGGAAUAACUGAGAGAAAUCUUAGCUAAUACCGCAUAACACUUACGAGUCAAAGCAGCAAUGCGCUUGGAGAGGAGUUCGCGGCCGAUUAGUUAGUUGGCGGGGUAAUGGCCCACCAAGACGAUGAUCGGUAUCCGGCCUGAGAGGGCGCACGGACACACUGGAACUGAAACACGGUCCAGACUCCUACGGGAGGCAGCAGUGGGGAAUUUUGCGCAAUGGGGGAAACCCUGACGCAGCAACGCCGCGUGGAGGAUGAAGCCCCUUGGGGUGUAAACUCCUUCGAUCGGGAAGAUAAUGACGGUACCGAUAUAAGAAGCCCGGCUAACUUCGCGCCAGCAGCCGC